This 301-nucleotide ribosomal RNA is filed under the name uncultured bacterium. Its description in RNAcentral is "partial 16S ribosomal RNA". It matches the Rfam family "Bacterial small subunit ribosomal RNA", at positions 509 to 807 of the family's 1533-position model. The record is from RNAcentral.
CAGUAGCCACGGUAAAACGAAGGGGGCUAGCGUUGCUCGGAAUUACUUGGCGUAAAGGGCGCGUAGGCGGACAGUUCAGUCGGGGGUGAAAGCCCGGGGCUCAGCCUCGGAAUUGCCUUCGAUACUGGCUGUCUUGAGUAUGAGAGAGGUGUGUGGAACUCCGAGUGUAGAGGUGAAAUUCGUAGAUAUUCGCAAGAACACCAGUGGCGAAGGCGGCUCACUGGCCCGGAACUGACGCUGAGGCACGACAGCGUGGGGAGCAAACAGGAUUAGAUACCCGGGUAGUCCCUGACUCUUAUAC